GUAAUAGCUCACUGGUCGAGUCGGCCUGCGCGGAAGAUGUAACGGGGCUAAACCAUGCACCGAAGCUGCGGCAGCGAACGUAUCACUUAAAGCGAUUCAGCGGGUUACGAUUGACGGAGCGAAGCGACGUCAAAGCGUAUACAAAGUCGAGUCGGUUUAAGGAUACGUUCGUUGGGUAGGGGAGCGUUCUGUAAGCCUGCGAAGGUGGCCUGUGAGGGUUGCUGGAGGUAUCAGAAGUGCGAAUGCUGACAUAAGUAACGAUAAAGCGGGUGAAAAGCCCGCUCGCCGGAAGACCAAGGGUUCCUGUCCAACGUUAAUCGGGGCAGGGUGAGUCGACCCCUAAGGCGAGGCCGAAAGGCGUAGUCGAUGGGAAACGGGUUAAUAUUCCCGUACUUGGUGUUACUGCGAAGGGGGGACGGAGAAGGCUAUGUUGGCCGGGCGACGGUUGUCCCGGUUUAAGCGUGUAGGUGUGUGUUCCAGGUAAAUCCGGUUCACUUUAACACUGAGGCGUGAUGACGAGGCACUACGGUGCUGAAGCAACAAAUGCCCUGCUUCCAGGAAAAGCCUCUAAGCAUCAGGUAACAUCAAAUCGUACCCCAAACCGACACAGGUGGUCAGGUAGAGAAUACCAAGGCGCUUGAGAGAACUCGGGUGAAGGAACUAGGCAAAAUGGUGCCGUAACUUCGGGAGAAGGCACGCUGACACGUAGGUGAAGUGAUUUACUCA
RNAcentral lists this ribosomal RNA (726 nucleotides) under Salmonella enterica subsp. enterica serovar Infantis. Its description in RNAcentral is "partial 23S ribosomal RNA". It matches the Rfam family "Bacterial large subunit ribosomal RNA", at positions 1134 to 1772 of the family's 2925-position model. Lineage: Bacteria; Pseudomonadati; Pseudomonadota; Gammaproteobacteria; Enterobacterales; Enterobacteriaceae. The record is from RNAcentral.